AUGUCAAGUAUACCAAGGAAGACGAACCUCCGCAGAGGGCAGAGGUUCUGCAUUUAUGCGUGGAGGAACUCUGUUUGGUAUACCACAUCACCGCGGCAACAAAAAUGGCCCAAGAGCCUGCACCCAUUCCUGAAGGAGGAAAGGUCCUACACCUUUGCCGGCUUCAGUAUUGAAGGUGACAAAGAGAAGCUGGGGAGAUCUGGUUUGGAGAUCAACCCCGACAAGUACAUCGACAUCCAACGCAAAUGGAGAGUUCCGUUCAAGGAAAGAAAGAGGUUCCACUCUUUGGCUGAUGUUGCAGGCAACAUGAUCCACCCAUUCUACAACAAGAUGAAGAAAAAGAUUGACAGGGAUGAAGACGAUAAACUGUGGGGUAUCAGGCCACUACCAGAUUACCUCAUCGAGUAUGCAGCGAUAGAUGCGUAUGCCACCUACGAGUCAUGGAAGGGAAUUGAAAACAUCAGAGAAGGUCGUGCAAAAGAGGCAUAG
RNAcentral lists this ribosomal RNA (489 nucleotides) under Triticum aestivum (bread wheat). RNAcentral's name for it is "partial small subunit ribosomal RNA". Lineage: Eukaryota; Viridiplantae; Streptophyta; Magnoliopsida; Poales; Poaceae. The record is from RNAcentral.